UUUCGUAGGUGAACCUGCGGAAGGAUCAU
RNAcentral lists this ribosomal RNA (29 nucleotides) under Xanthoparmelia plittii. RNAcentral's name for it is "partial 18S ribosomal RNA". Lineage: Eukaryota; Fungi; Ascomycota; Lecanoromycetes; Lecanorales; Parmeliaceae. The record is from RNAcentral.